Pangasianodon hypophthalmus (striped catfish) is the source of this 1247-nucleotide long non-coding RNA. RefSeq lists it as uncharacterized. The record is from RefSeq and is a predicted model, not a curated record. NCBI's taxonomy places the organism in Eukaryota, Metazoa, Chordata, Actinopteri, Siluriformes, Pangasiidae. The transcript is spliced from 3 exons.
CAUAUUAUUUGUAAAUGUUUUGGUGUUGUUUUUUUGUUCUCUUGUGCUAGAAGUAGCAGCCAUCCAAUCAGUUGAUGCACGAGGCAUGAUGACUGAAAAGGCAUGUAAUCCCACAGUGUAAUCCCUCAACCCCCACGGAUAACCAGUCACUGGAAAUUAGCGAUACGUGACCCUUCUCUCUUCAUCAACCAGGCACAAAAGCAACGUUGUUUUUCCAUUGUGGCUUCAAGGCACGUUCACGGUCAAUUUCAGCCCACCUCCAAGGUGCUCCAAUGUCAUCUCUCUGUCAAAUCCAACUCGGAGGUCAUAGCAAAUCGCUCAAAGAAACAGUUCUGGUUUGUGGCCAACCCACCGUUCCUGCCAUAAAAGGUUGUUAAGCUUGGAUGGAUGAAUGUUGCAGGCGUGUGGGUGUGUUUCAGUGGAGCGUGACAUGGCAAGACUCCAUUUCACAGGGACAAAGUCAACCUAGAGGCCAGAUGGCCGGCAUCCUGUUACUGGCAGCUUGGCGGUGUAAUUAAUGAUGGACGAAUGACCUGGACCCAAAAAAUAAGGUCUUCCCAGACAAAAGGCGUUAGAUGGACUGAGAGAGAGAGAAGGAAAGAGAGAGAAAGAGGGAGAGGUACUUACACACCCUGGUCAUGUGAAACAGUCACUGUGAAUUUUUAAUUUACAUAUAAGGACAUAAAUUGGCUGUAUCCCUUAUUAAAUCCCUUAUUUCUCAUUAUAUUUCUUAUUAUAACUGUCUAUCCAAGGGCACCCCUAUAUCCCCAGAGCAAAUUCCCCUAUGCUUAAUGAAUUUAUGAGUCAUAUUAUAGCAAGCCCAUUAAGGAGCAUGAUUCAGUGAGAAUAACCCCAGAUCAAAUUAUGAUACACAUCCCUCCUGUCAGGGCAGGAUCCAGAAACUAAAACUAACGGCCAGAUUUGAACUGGACUGUGGUUCUGUAUGUGAUGGUUUUAUAAUAAGCUCAUUAGCACAGAGAAAAUAUAUGAUAAAUAGUGAAAUCAAUAGUGUUUGAGCCAUAUUUAAGUUUGACAACAGAUCACAUGGACAUGACGGACUUGAUGCUGAGAAUGAUAGUGCUCACUUUUGUGCUCAGAGGUAAGUCUUUGUUUUUUUUUUUUUUUUGCACAGCAUAGUACAAAUUUGACACACUGAAUUUUGUUUGUCUUUAGCUUGUUAACUAAAAAAGAGAUGCUGGUGAAUUUGUAGCUAUUAUAAUGCAAGGGAUAGCAGGAACUAACUUGGA